RNAcentral lists this ribosomal RNA (643 nucleotides) under uncultured Actinomycetes bacterium. RNAcentral's name for it is "bacterial SSU rRNA". It matches the Rfam family "Bacterial small subunit ribosomal RNA", at positions 232 to 885 of the family's 1533-position model. Lineage: Bacteria; Bacillati; Actinomycetota; Actinomycetes. The record is from RNAcentral.
CGCGGCCUAUCAGCUUGUUGGUGAGGUAAUGGCUUACCAAGGCGACGACGGGUAGCCGGCCUGAGAGGGUGACCGGCCACACUGGGACUGAGACACGGCCCAGACUCCUACGGGAGGCAGCAGUGGGGAAUAUUGCACAAUGGGCGAAAGCCUGAUGCAGCGACGCCGCGUGAGGGAUGACGGCCUUCGGGUUGUAAACCUCUUUCAGUAGGGAAGAAGCGAAAGUGACGGUACCUGCAGAAGAAGCGCCGGCUAACUACGUGCCAGCAGCCGCGGUAAUACGUAGGGCGCAAGCGUUAUCCGGAAUUAUUGGGCGUAAAGAGCUCGUAGGCGGUUUGUCGCGUCUGCCGUGAAAGUCCGGGGCUCAACUCCGGAUCUGCGGUGGGUACGGGCAGACUAGAGUGAUGUAGGGGAGACUGGAAUUCCUGGUGUAGCGGUGAAAUGCGCAGAUAUCAGGAGGAACACCGAUGGCGAAGGCAGGUCUCUGGGCAUUAACUGACGCUGAGGAGCGAAAGCAUGGGGAGCGAACAGGAUUAGAUACCCUGGUAGUCCAUGCCGUAAACGUUGGGCACUAGGUGUGGGGGACAUUCCACGUUUUCCGCGCCGUAGCUAACGCAUUAAGUGCCCCGCCUGGGGAGUACGG